GACGAAGGGGGCGAGCGUUGUUCGGAUUUACUGGGCGUAAAGGGCGCGUAGGCGGUCAGCACAAGUCAGUUGUGAAAUCUCCGGGCUUAACUCGGAAAGGUCAACUGAUACUGUGCGACUAGAGUGCAGAAGGGGCAACUGGAAUUCUCGGUGUAGCGGUGAAAUGCGUAGAUAUCGAGAGGAACACCUGCGGCGAAGGCGGGUUGCUGGGCUGACACUGACGCUGAUGCGCGAAAGCCAGGGGAGCGAACGGG
Molecule: ribosomal RNA, 254 nt
Filed under: uncultured bacterium
Lineage: Bacteria
Description: partial 16S ribosomal RNA
Rfam family: Bacterial small subunit ribosomal RNA
Source: RNAcentral